UACGGGGGGGGCAAGCGUUGUUCGGAAUUACUGGGCGUAAAGGGUUUGUAGGUGGCUUGCUAAGUCAGACGUGAAAUCCCUCAGCUUAACUGGGGAACUGCGUCUGAGACUGGCAAGCUCGAGUGCAGGAGAGGAACGCGGAAUUCCAGGUGUAGCGGUGAAAUGCGUAGAUAUCUGGAGGAACACCGGUGGCGAAGGCGGCGCUCUGGACUGCAACUGACACUGAAAAACGAAAGCCAAGGGAGCAAACGGG
RNAcentral lists this ribosomal RNA (253 nucleotides) under uncultured bacterium. RNAcentral describes it as "partial 16S ribosomal RNA". It matches the Rfam family "Bacterial small subunit ribosomal RNA", at positions 524 to 776 of the family's 1533-position model. The record is from RNAcentral.